RNAcentral lists this ribosomal RNA (253 nucleotides) under uncultured bacterium. Its description in RNAcentral is "partial 16S ribosomal RNA". It matches the Rfam family "Bacterial small subunit ribosomal RNA", at positions 524 to 776 of the family's 1533-position model. The record is from RNAcentral.
UACGUAGGAGGCGAGCGUUGUCCGGAAUCACUGGGUGUAAAGCGCGUGUAGGCGGCCUGCCAAGUCUGCUGUGAAAGCGCCUGGCUUAACCGGGCGAGGUCGGUGGAAACUGGCGGGCUGGAGGACGGUAGAGGGGGGUGGAAUUCCCGGUGUAGUGGUGAAAUGCGUAGAGAUCGGGAGGAACACCAGUGGCGAAGGCGGCCCCCUGGGCCGUUCCUGACGCUGAGACGCGAAGGCGCGGGGAGCGGACGGG